RNAcentral lists this ribosomal RNA (579 nucleotides) under Pseudomonas aeruginosa. RNAcentral's name for it is "bacterial SSU rRNA". It matches the Rfam family "Bacterial small subunit ribosomal RNA", at positions 139 to 714 of the family's 1533-position model. Lineage: Bacteria; Pseudomonadati; Pseudomonadota; Gammaproteobacteria; Pseudomonadales; Pseudomonadaceae. The record is from RNAcentral.
GGGGGAAACGUCCGGAACGGGCGCUAAUACCGCAUACGUCCUGAGGGAGAAAGUGGGGGAUCUUCGGACCUCACGCUAUCAGAUGAGCCUAGGUCGGAUUAGCUAGUUGGUGGGGUAAAGGCCUACCAAGGCGACGAUCCGUAACUGGUCUGAGAGGAUGAUCAGUCACACUGGAACUGAGACACGGUCCAGACUCCUACGGGAGGCAGCAGUGGGGAAUAUUGGACAAUGGGCGAAAGCCUGAUCCAGCCAUGCCGCGUGUGUGAAGAAGGUCUUCGGAUUGUAAAGCACUUUAAGUUGGGAGGAAGGGCAGUAAGUUAAUACCUUGCUGUUUUGACGUUACCAACAGAAUAAGCACCGGCUAACUUCGUGCCAGCAGCCGCGGUAAUACGAAGGGUGCAAGCGUUAAUCGGAAUUACUGGGCGUAAAGCGCGCGUAGGUGGUUCAGCAAGUUGGAUGUGAAAUCCCCGGGCUCAACCUGGGAACUGCAUCCAAAACUACUGAGCUAGAGUACGGUAGAGGGUGGUGGAAUUUCCUGUGUAGCGGUGAAAUGCGUAGAUAUAGGAAGGAACACCAGUG